GGGGUUGUGGCUCAAUGAUAGAGCGCUUGCCUAGCAUGUGUGAGGCACUGGGUUCAAUUCUCAGCACCA
RNAcentral lists this transfer RNA (69 nucleotides) under Ictidomys tridecemlineatus (thirteen-lined ground squirrel). Its description in RNAcentral is "Spermophilus tridecemlineatus (thirteen-lined ground squirrel) tRNA". It matches the Rfam family "tRNA". Rfam says of the family: Transfer RNA (tRNA) molecules are approximately 80 nucleotides in length. Their secondary structure includes four short double-helical elements and three loops (D, anti-codon, and T loops). Further hydrogen bonds mediate the characteristic L-shaped molecular structure. tRNAs have two regions of fundamental functional importance: the anti-codon, which is responsible for specific mRNA codon recognition, and the 3' end, to which the tRNAs corresponding amino acid is attached (by aminoacyl-tRNA synthetases). tRNAs cope with the degeneracy of the genetic code in two manners: having more than one tRNA (with a specific anti-codon) for a particular amino acid; and 'wobble' base-pairing, i.e. permitting non-standard base-pairing at the 3rd anti-codon position. The record is from Rfam by way of RNAcentral. Lineage: Eukaryota; Metazoa; Chordata; Mammalia; Rodentia; Sciuridae.